This 396-nucleotide ribosomal RNA is filed under the name uncultured bacterium. RNAcentral's name for it is "partial 16S ribosomal RNA". It matches the Rfam family "Bacterial small subunit ribosomal RNA", at positions 523 to 918 of the family's 1533-position model. The record is from RNAcentral.
AUACGUAGGUGGCAAGCGUUGUCCGGAUUUACUGGGUGUAAAGGGUGCGUAGGCGGGGCAGCAAGUUGGAUGUGAAAUCCUCGGGCUCGACUCGAGAACUGCAUUCAAAACUGUUGCUCUUGAGUGCAGUAGAGGCAAGCGGAAUUCCCGGUGUAGCGGUGAAAUGCGCAGAGAUCGGGAGGAACACCUGUGGCGAAGGCGGCUUGCUGGGCUGUUACUGACGCUGAGGCACGAAAGCAUGGGUAGCAAACAGGAUUAGAUACCCUGGUAGUCCACGCUGUAAACGAUGAAUACUAGGUGUGGGGGGACUGACCCCCUCCGUGCCGCAGUUAACACAAUAAGUAUUCCACCUGGGGAGUACGAUCGCAAGAUUGAAACUCAAAUGAAUUGACGGGG